AAAAGGGAGAGGAGACAGCGUGUCUCCAGGUGCUCAUUUGGCAGGGAGUGUGUGUGCACGCACAGGUAUCCCAGCUUAGGUAGGCCGGGCUCUGAAUUCAGCCCCCUGAUGGAGGCUGGAAGACAGAAGGAGGAUUAGCCCUAAGCAUUAGGCUUUCUCAGGAACCCGGGUUGGGGAAAGGGUAAAGAGGAAAGGGGG
Phyllostomus discolor (pale spear-nosed bat) is the source of this 198-nucleotide long non-coding RNA. RefSeq lists it as uncharacterized. NCBI's taxonomy places the organism in Eukaryota, Metazoa, Chordata, Mammalia, Chiroptera, Phyllostomidae. The transcript is spliced from 3 exons. The record is from RefSeq and is a predicted model, not a curated record.